RNAcentral lists this long non-coding RNA (1071 nucleotides) under Numida meleagris (helmeted guineafowl). Its description in RNAcentral is "lncRNA (ENSNMEG00000012744.1)". Lineage: Eukaryota; Metazoa; Chordata; Aves; Galliformes; Numididae. The record is from RNAcentral.
AUGACCGCGGCCGCGCACAGGUGUAGAGCUAUGAGCGGAUGGGACAGGGGGAACACCCCGUGCCCCCACAGGAAAAAGUGCAGUAACGUAACAGCAGGGAUCAGUAAAACCUGCGCCGGCCGCUCUCAGCCUCCUCUGGCUCACGGGCUCCCAGUGGGGUGUCGGACCCCUGCUGAAGGGGUUGGGAUCCAUUGGGAUCUAUCACUUCAUUUUCCCUUUGUGCUUUUGCAGAGCUUGGGAAAUAACCCCAAGGAACCUGCAGAAGAUGCCGGAAGCCGCACGUACAGCUUUCCAAAAGAUUUAAACAAAAGAAAUAAAAAGGGGAGGAAAAAAAAAAAAAUAAGGACGUGUCCUUCUAAAUCUGUUAGCAAGUGGACAGCUUAUUUCGUCGAAGACUGUAUCUCGUACAAACGUAAUGGUCACUGCUUUAUCUGUGCUUUAGCAAGGCACAGCGAGAGGAAAAGCUUUCAGUGCUGCUACCUGAAUUUUCAGCAUUUUGACAGCUUACUUUUGUCAAGUAAUCCUAUGGCGUUGGACAGGGACCCACUUCACAGCCAGAGCAAAACGAGCGUGGCAGCCGCGCGAUGGUUGGCGAGGGGCCGAGCGCUGCUGGAUCCUCAUCGGGAAAAGGAAAAUGAAAAAACACGUAUAAAGCAAAAUAUCCAGCUCUUACCAUCAAUACAUUCUAGCAAAAAUUGUGGUUUCCAUCCGAUGGCACCGCCAGGCACUGGAGGAUCGGUGGCGGCUCUGGGCAUCAUGGCUGCCCCAUCACCAGCCCGGCCUCACCAGCGCGCGGUUGGCAAAUCUCAGCUGACUUUCUCUUUCUCCCCCCAGUUUUCCAGUCCUCCCCGGGGGUGUUUUUUUGUUUCCUUUUGUUUUCCAAACAAACGCACGGGUGAACUGGAAGCCAUGGCUGGAUCCAUCAGCCGCGAUCCUACAUUUUCAGGAGUUGUUUUCUCACUGCCGGAGGCCCAGCCCGACGGAUGCGCGUUGUUUGGAGAUCCCUGUCCCUCCGGUCUCCAAGGUCUGACAGGCGGUUUUCCCAAACUAGCUGAUAUCUGGCUACAGUAG